UACGGAAGGCAGCAGUGGGGAAUAUUGCACAAUGGGCGCAAGCCUGAUGCAGCCAUGCCGCGUGUAUGAAGAAGGCCUUCGGGUUGUAAAGUACUUUCAGUCGUGAGGAAGGUGUUAAGGUUAAUAACCUUAGCAAUUGACGUUAGCGACAGAAGAAGCACCGGCUAACUCCGUGCCAGCAGCCGCGGUAAUACGGAGGGUGCGAGCGUUAAUCGGAAUUACUGGGCGUAAAGGGCACGCAGGCGGUUAAUUAAGUUGGAUGUGAAAUCCCCGGGCUUAACCUGGGAAUGGCAUUCAAGACUGGUUAGCUAGAGUCUUGUAGAGGGGGUAGAAUUCCAUGUGUAGCGGUGAAAUGCGUAGAGAUGUGGAGGAAUACCGGUGGCGAAGGCGGCCCCUGGACAAAGACUGACGCUCAUGUGCGAAAAGCGUGGGGA
Molecule: ribosomal RNA, 434 nt
Filed under: uncultured bacterium
Lineage: Bacteria
Description: bacterial SSU rRNA
Rfam family: Bacterial small subunit ribosomal RNA
Source: RNAcentral